RNAcentral lists this ribosomal RNA (446 nucleotides) under uncultured bacterium. RNAcentral describes it as "partial 16S ribosomal RNA". It matches the Rfam family "Bacterial small subunit ribosomal RNA", at positions 338 to 795 of the family's 1533-position model. The record is from RNAcentral.
CCUACGGGGGGCAGCAGUAGGGAAUUUUCGGCAAUGGGGGGAACCCUGACCGAGCAACGCCGCGUGAACGAAGAAGUUAUUCGUAAUGUAAAGUUCUUUUAACAGGGAAGAAAGAGAAAUUUGACGGUACCUGAAGAAUAAGCUUCGGCUAACUACGUGCCAGCAGCCGCGGUAAUACGUAGGGAGCGAGCGUUAUCCGGAAGUAUUGGGCGAAAAGGGUGCGUAGAUGGCAUAGUAAGUCUUUUGUAAAAAUGCUGGGCUCAACCCAGGAGGGCAAAAGAUACUGCAAAGCUAGAGUAUGACAGAGGCAAGUGGAACUACAUGUGUAGCGGGAAAAUGCGUAAAUAUAUGUAAGAACACCAGUGGCGAAGGCGGCUUGCUGGGUCGAUACUGACAUUGAGGCACGAAAGCGUGGGGAGCAAACAGGAUUAGAUACCCUGGUAGUC